Molecule: transfer RNA, 77 nt
Filed under: Evansella tamaricis
Lineage: Bacteria; Bacillati; Bacillota; Bacilli; Caryophanales; Bacillaceae
Description: Bacillus tamaricis tRNA-Arg
Rfam family: tRNA
About the family: Transfer RNA (tRNA) molecules are approximately 80 nucleotides in length.
Source: RNAcentral
GCGCCCUUAGCUCAGUAGGAUAGAGCAACAGUUUCCUAAACUGUAGGUCGGAGGUUCGAAUCCUCUAGGGCGCGCCA